GUCUUUUUGUAAAUAAUUUAAAGUCUAGCCUGCCCAAUGAAAAUUUAAAUGGCCGCGGUAUUUUGACUGUGCUAAGGUAGCAUAAUCAUUAGUUUUUUAAUUAGAAGCUGGAAUGAAGGGUUGAAUGAAAAAUUAACUGUCUCUGAUUAAUUUGAUUAGAAUUUUAUUUUUAAGUUAAAAAGCUUAAAUAUUUUUAAAAGACGAGAAGACCCUAUAGAGUUUAAUAUAUAAAAUUUAUAAUUAAAUUUAGUAUUAAAUUUAAAGUAGUAGUUAUAUAUUUAAUUGGGGUGAUUUAAAAAUUUAUGAAACUUUUUAUUUAUGUUAAUAUUAAUUAAUAAAUUUAUGAUCCAAAAAUUUUGAUUAAAAGUUAAAUUACCUUAGGGAUAACAGCGUAAUUUUAUUAAAGAGUUCUAAUCGAAAAUAAAGUUUGCGA
This 433-nucleotide ribosomal RNA is filed under the name Longitarsus aeneus. Its description in RNAcentral is "partial 16S large subunit ribosomal RNA". Lineage: Eukaryota; Metazoa; Arthropoda; Insecta; Coleoptera; Chrysomelidae. The record is from RNAcentral.